ACUCCUACGGGAGGCAGCAGUGGGGAAUAUUGCACAAUGGGCGCAAGCCUGAUGCAGCCAUGCCGCGUGUAUGAAGAAGGCCUUCGGGUUGUAAAGUACUUUCAGCAGUGAGGAAGGUGGGUAGUGUUAAUAGCAUAUUCUAUUUGUACGUUAGCUGCAGAAGAAGCACCGGCUAACUCCGUGCCAGCAGCCGCGGUAAUACGGAGGGUGCGAGCGUUAAUCGGAAUUACUGGGCGUAAAGCGCAUGCAGGUGGUUGUUAAGUCAGAUGUGAAAGCCCGGGGCUCAACCUCGGAAUUGCAUUUGAAACUGGCAAACUAGAGUACUGUAGAGGGGGUAGAAUUUCAGGUGUAGCGUGAAAUGCGUAGAGAUCUGAAGGAAUACCGGUGGCGAAGCGGCCCCUGGACAGAUACUGACACUCAGAUGCGAAAGCGUGGGAGCAAACAGGAUUAGAUACCCCGUGUAGGUCAGU
Molecule: ribosomal RNA, 470 nt
Filed under: uncultured bacterium
Lineage: Bacteria
Description: bacterial SSU rRNA
Rfam family: Bacterial small subunit ribosomal RNA
Source: RNAcentral